This 390-nucleotide ribosomal RNA is filed under the name uncultured bacterium. RNAcentral's name for it is "bacterial SSU rRNA". It matches the Rfam family "Bacterial small subunit ribosomal RNA", at positions 28 to 421 of the family's 1533-position model. The record is from RNAcentral.
GACGAACGCUGGCGGCGUGCUUAACACAUGCAAGUCGAGCGGUAAGGCCCUUUCGGGGGUACACGAGCGGCGAACGGGUGAGUAACACGUGGGUGACCUGCCCUUAGCUCUGGGAUAAGCCUGGGAAACUGGGUCUAAUACCGGAUAUGACUCCAUGACGCAUGUUGUGGGGUGAAAGCCUUGUGCGGCUAGGGAUGGGCCCGCGGCCUAUCAGCUUGUUGGUGGGGUGAUGGCCACCAAGGCGACGACGGGUAGCCGGCCUGAGAGGGCGACCGGCCACACUGGGACUGAGACACGGCCCAGACUCCUACGGGAGGCAGCAGUGGGGAAUCUUGCGCAAUGGGCGAAAGCCUGACGCAGCGACGCCGCGUGAGGGAUGACGGCCUGUGU